This is a non-coding RNA of Caerostris extrusa, 71 nucleotides long. NCBI's taxonomy places the organism in Eukaryota, Metazoa, Arthropoda, Arachnida, Araneae, Araneidae. The record is from the annotation of a GenBank genome assembly.
GGCUCGGUGGUCUAGGGGUAUGAUUCGCGCUUCGGGUGCGCGAGGUCCCGGUUCAAGUCCCGGCCGAGCCC